Molecule: ribosomal RNA, 395 nt
Filed under: uncultured bacterium
Lineage: Bacteria
Description: bacterial SSU rRNA
Rfam family: Bacterial small subunit ribosomal RNA
Source: RNAcentral
GACGAACGCUGGCGGCGUGCUUAACACAUGCAAGUCGAGCGGUAAGGCCCUUUCGGGGGUACACGAGCGGCGAACGGGUGAGUAACACGUGGGUGACCUGCCCUCAGCUCUGGGAUAAGCCUGGGAAACCGGGUCUAAUACUGGAUAUGACUCCAUGACGCAUGUUGUGGGGUGGAAAGCCUUGUGCGGCUGAGGAUGGGCCCGCGGCCUAUCAGCUUGUUGGUGGGGUGAGGCCUACCAAGGCGACGACGGGUAGCCGGCCUGAGAGGGCGACCGGCCACACUGGGACUGAGACACGGCCCAGACUCCUACGGGAGGCAGCAGUGGGGAAUCUUGCGCAAUGGGCGAAAGCCUGACGCAGCGACGCCGCGUGAGGGAUGACGGCCUGGUGUAAC